UAAAGUGCUGGGAUUACAGGUGUGGGCCACCGCGCCCGACCUACAGGCGCCUUUUUAUUUGCGAUUUUAAGGUCCUUGCAAUUAGCCUACGUGUUAGAGUCAUUUGGCGUUUGGUAGUAUCCAUGGCAGCAUUUUUUCUUUCUUAAUGCUAUUGUAUUUCUUGGAUCGGGUGUCUUCACAUCACCGGCCUGUGGCUUGGAUGCGGCACAUGGUGUAAUUAGGAGCUCCCCUGUGGGCAUGCAGAUACAGAUAUUUCUCCACUUAAGAAGGGGUCAGGGGGCGCGGUGGCUCACACCUGUAAUCCCAGCACUUUGGGAUGCUGAGGCAGGCGGAUCACCUGAGGUCAGGAGUUCGAGACCAGCCUGACCAACAUAGUGAAACCCCAUCUCUACUAAAAGUACAAAAAUUAGCUCGGCGUGGUGGCGCUUAAUCCCAGCUACUUAAGAGGCUGAGGCAGGAGAAUAACUUGAACCCAAGAAGCGGAGGUUGCAGUGAGCAGAGAUCGACAAGAGCAAGACUCCGUCUAAAAAAAAAAAAAAAAAAUGGGGUCAAGUCCCAGUGAACCCAUCAUGAAGUCGAAACAUCGUAAGUGAAACCACGAGAUGUUCACAGGUACCUGGAGUUUCUUCCUUCUGGUGGGUUCGUGGUCUCACUGACUUCAGGAGUAAAGUCGCAGACCUUCGCAGUGAGUGUUACAGCUCUUAAAGGUGGCACGUUGGGAGUUGUUUGUUCCUCCGGGGGGUUCGUGGUAUUGCUGACUUGAGGAGUGAAGCUGCAGACCUUCACGCUGAGUGUUACAGCUCAUAAAGGUAGUACAGACCCAAAAAAUGAGCAACAGCAAGAUUUACUGCAAAGAGCAAAAGAACAAAGCCUCCACAGCAUGUAAGAGUACCCCAGCGGGUUGCCCCCGCUGGCGCAGGUGGCCAGCUUUUAUUCCCUUAUUUGGCCCCACCCACAUCCUGCUGAUUGGUCCAUUUUACAGAGCGCUGAUUGGUCCAUUUUUACAGAGUGCUGAUUGGUGCCUUUACAAACCUUUAGCUAACACAGAGUGCUGAUUGGUGUGUUUUUACAGAGUGCUGAUUGGUGUGUUUACAAACCUUUAGCUAGACACAGAGCACUGAUUGGUGCAUUUACAAUCCUUUAGCUAGACAGAAAAGUUCUCCAGGUCCCCACCUGAUUAGCUAGACACAGAGCGCCGAUUGGUGCGUUUUUACAGAGUGCUGAUUGGUGUGUUUACAAACCUUUAGCUAGUCACAGAGCGCUGAUUGGUGCAUUUACAAUCCUUUUUAGCUAGACAGAAAAGUUCUCCAAGUCCCCACCCGACCCAGAAGCCCAGCUGGCUUUGCCUCUCAGUACCACUGCUCUCCAGCCUGGGCGACAGAGCAAGACUCCGUCUCAAAAAAAAAAAAAUAGCACUAAAAGAAACUUAUUAAAAAAGAAAAACAUUGUCAGGUCAGGCUAAAGGUUAAAGAGGAAAAAAAAUCACAGGGUAGGGUCAAAGAGUGGCGAUAACAGAGAAGAGAGUCAUGAGACUUGAAAUUAAAUAAUAGAAAUUACUCAAUAUUAACUGCAGAGAGAAAAUAGACUGAAAAAAAUUAGCAGAGCCUCAGUAACCUGUGGGACUGUGAUGAAAGAUUUAACAUCAUGUCAUCAAAGUCCCCCCAAAAAAGAGAAAAAAGCAUGAAGCUGAAAAAUAUUCAAAGAUAUGAUGGCUCAAGAUUUUCCAAAAAUUGCAAAAGACAUAGCCUAAACCGAAUAAACUCCUAACAAGUCUGAGGCAAUCUAUAUCAAUAUAUAUAUCAUAAUCAAACGCCUGAAAACUAAAGGCAAAGAAAAAAGUAUUAAAAACAGCAAGACAGAAAUUCUACCAUAUUUAUAAGGGAAAAGCAAUUUUUUUUUUUUUUGAGAUGGAGUCUCGCUCUUUUGUCAGGCUGGAGUGCAGUGGUGCAAUCUCGGCUCACUGCCACCUCUGCCUCCCGAGUUCAAGCGAUUCUCCUCCCUCAGCCUCCAGAGUAGCUGGGACUACAGGCGCGCACCACCAUGCCCAGCUAAUUUUUGUAUUUUUAGUAGAGACAGGGUUUCACUGCGUUGGCCAGGAUGGUCUCAAUCUCUUGAUCUCAUGAUCCGCCCACCUCGGCCUCCCAAAGUGCUGGGAUUACAGGCGUGAGCCACCGCGCCCUGCCAGGAAAAGCAAUUUUUAAAUGACGGCAUAUUUCUCCUCCGAAAUCACAGAGACCAGAAGGAAGUGACACAGUAUUUUCCAAGUGCUGAAAGAAAAGCAGUGUCAAUCGAGAAUUCUAUUAUCCAGUGAAAACAGCCUUCAAAAAUGGAAGGGAUAUCAGGGCAAUCUCAGAUGAAGAACUACUAAGAAUUUGUCACCAGCAGACCUACCAUUAAAAAAAUGGCUAAAGGAAAUUCUUGAAAUAGAAAGGAAAUGAUAAGUCUUAGAACAUCAGGGAGGAACACAGAACAACAGAAAGAGUAAAAAUAUAGAUAAAUACACUAGACAUUUCUUCUGCUGAGUUUUCGAGAGUAUCUUUGUCCAAGCAAAAAUUUUAACAUUGUCUAACAUGGUUAUUGAAGUAUGUAGAAGAAUCAUUAAGAUAAUUGUAAGUGAGAGAGGGUAAAAUGACUUAAAAGAAUUGUAAGGUUUCUAUGCUUCAGUCAAACUGGUAAAAUGUCAACACUAGUAGACUGAGAUAUCAAUAUAAUGUAAUAUGUAGAGCAGCUAUUAAAUAAUUUACACAAAGAGAUACACACUAAAUCACUAGACAUAUCAAAAUGGAAUUCUAAAAAGGUGCUAGUAACCCAAAGGAAAGUACGAAAAAGAAAACAGAGAAACCAAGAACAGAGGAAACAAAGAUAACAAAAAAAUUCUAUGGAAGACCUAAGACUUAAUAUACAGGUAAUUACAUUAAAUAUAAACAGUCUAAAUACACUAAUAAAAAGAUAGAUUAGUGAGUGAAACAAGCCAGGCACACAAAGUCAAAUAUCACCUGUUUUCACUCAUAAGUGGGUGCUAAAAAAUGUGUACACAUGAAGACAGAGAUUGGGGUGACAGACAAUGAAGACUUGGAAGGGUGAAGGAGUAUGAGGGGGUCAUAUGAUAGGUAAUUCCUAAUUGGGUACAAUGCGCAUUAUUUGGGUAAUGGAUACCCUAAAAGCCCUGACUUGACCACUAUGUAAUCUAUGCAUAUAACAAAACUGCAUACGGCCGGGCUCAGUGGCUCACGCCUGUAAUCCCAGCACUUUGGGAGGCUGAGGUGUGUAGAUCACUUGAGGUCCAGAGUUCAAGACCAGGUGGGCCAACAUGGUGAAACCCCAUCUCUACUAAAAAUACAAAAAUUAGCUGGGCAUCGUGGCAGGUGGCUGUAAUCCCAGCUACUCAGGAGGCUGAGGCAGGAGAAUCACUUGAACCCAGGAGGUGAAGGUUGUAGUGAGCUGAGAUUGCUCCACUGCACUCCAGCCUGGGUGACAGAGUGAGACUCCAUCUCUAAAUAAAUAAAUCAGCAGGUAUUUAUAAACAUAGGCCAGAUAAUGUCACUUCUCUGCUCACAACCUUCCACUGGUACCACAUCUCACAGCAAAUGGAAGCCAAAGGCCUUACAAUAUUAGCAACAGCCCCAGCUUUCAGGCCACAAAAUUCAUCUUGAAACUGUAGCCUACUGAGUAUUCUUAACGUAAACAUUUCCUUAAUAUAAAGCAGUAUAUAUUCGCUGUAGAAAAACUGAAAAAUAUAAAACAUGUAAAGGGGGAAAUUACUUAUAAUUCCACAGUCUAAAAUAGCCACUACACUGGUUUUUUUAAUAUAUAUAUCUUUUUGUAAAUCUAGUUUUUACAAUUUAAUGAUACUGAGGCAAACAAAUUUGCCACAUCCAUAAAAAUUUUGAAAUCAAAUAGAAAUAAAAUAAUAAAAAGACAGAUUGGCAGAGUAGGUGUUUUUUGUUUGUUUGUUUCUGUUUGUUUUUUUAAAAAAUAGAACCAACAGCAAGCAUAGUGGCUCACACUGGACGCUGAGGUAGGAGGGAGCCCAGGAGUUGGAGACCAACUUGGGCAACCAUAGCAAUGUAGCAGGACGAGCCGCAGACAAAACUCAGACACCGAGUUAAAUAAGGAAGGGGUUUAUUCGGCGGGGGGCAUUGGCAAGACUCCUGUCUCAAGAGCAGAGCUCUCCGAGUGAGCAAUUCCUGUACCUUUUAAGCGCUCACAACUCUACGGGGGUGCGCGUGAGAGGGUCUUGAUCGAUUGAGCAAGCAGGGGGUACGUGACUGGGGGCUGCAUGCACCGGUAAUUAGAUGGGAACAAAACAGGAUAGGGAUUUCCACACUGCUUUUCUAUACAAUGUCUGUAAUCUAUAGAUAAUAUAACCGAUUAGGUCAGGGGUCGAUCUUUAACUACCAGGCCCAGGGUGUGAUGCCGGGCUGUCUGCUUGUGGAUUUCAUUUCUGCCUUUUAGUUUUUACUUUUUCUUUCUUUGGAGGCAGAAAUUGGGCAUAAGACAAUAUGAGGGGUGGUCUCCUCCCUUAGCAAGACUUGGUCCCUACACAUUUUUUUUUUUUUUUUUUUUUUUUUUUUUUUUGAGACGGAGUCUCGCUCUGUCGCCCAGGCUGGAGUGCAGUGGCACCAUCCCGGCUCACUGCAAGCUCCGCCUCCUGGGUUCACGCCUUUCUCCUGCCUC
This 4677-nucleotide long non-coding RNA is filed under the name Homo sapiens (human). RNAcentral describes it as "HSALNT0275145". The record is from RNAcentral. Lineage: Eukaryota; Metazoa; Chordata; Mammalia; Primates; Hominidae.